CCUACGGGAGGCAGCAGUGGGGAAUAUUGCACAAUGGGCGAAAGCCUGAUGCAGCAACGCCGCGUGAAGGAAGAAGGGUUUCGGCUCGUAAACUUCUAUCAACAGGGACGAAAGAAAUGACGGUACCUGAAUCAGAAGCCCCGGCUAACUACGUGCUAGCAGCCGCGGUAAGACGUAGGGGGCAAUCGUUAUCCGGAAUUACUGGGGGUAAAGAGUGAGUAUGCGGAAUGGUAAGCCAGAGUUGAAAGCCUUGGGCUUAACCCGAGGAUUGCAUUUGGAACUAUCAAGCUAGAGUACAGGAGAGGAAAGCGGAAUUCCUAGGGGAGCGGUGAAAUGCGUAGAUAUUAGGAAGAACACCAGUGGCGAAGGCGGCUUGCUGGACUGAAACUGACGCUGAGGCACGAAAGCGUGGGGAGCGAACAGGAUUAGAUACCCCUGUAGUC
Molecule: ribosomal RNA, 443 nt
Filed under: uncultured bacterium
Lineage: Bacteria
Description: partial 16S ribosomal RNA
Rfam family: Bacterial small subunit ribosomal RNA
Source: RNAcentral